GAUGAAGAACGCAGCGAAAUGCGAUAAGUAGUGUGAAUUGCAGAAUUCAGUGAAUCAUCGAAUUUUUGAACGCACAUUGCGCCCCUUGGUAUCCCGAGGGGCAUGCCUGUUCGAGCGUCAUUUCACCACUCAAGCCUGGCUUGGUGUUGGGCGACGUCCCCUUUGGGGACGCGCCUCGAAACGCUCGGCGGCGUGGCACCGGCUUUAAGCGUAGCAGAAUCUUUCGCUUUGGAAGUCGGGGCCCCGUCUGCCGGAAGACCUACUCGCAAGGUUGACCUCGGAUCAGGCAGGGAUACCCGCUGAACUUAAGCAUAUCAAUAAGCGGAGGA
This 329-nucleotide unclassified non-coding RNA is filed under the name soil metagenome. RNAcentral's name for it is "partial contains 5.8S ribosomal RNA, internal transcribed spacer 2, and large subunit ribosomal RNA". The stretch from base 1 to 120 matches the Rfam family "5.8S ribosomal RNA", at positions 35 to 154 of the family's 154-position model. The record is from RNAcentral.